CGUCCAUCUACUGAGGGGGAGAGAAGGAGGAGGGGGUGUCGUGCACGCGCCGGCCUGCGCGUGUGUGUUAGAGGAGGAGGAGGAGGUGAUGUGUAUGUGGGAGCAGGAGCAAAGACGCUGCAGUGUCUUGGCAGCUGCAUUAUACUGUAGUGCAUCUCCCACCGCCCGUGAUGCCUUCACGGCCAAAGCCUUCCUCCUCCCCCGCGUCCACUCUUGAAGGCGCAAAGAUGAACUCGCCCGCAAACUGAGACGGACACCGGUCAGUUCGACAGUCCGGACCUGCUCCCCUCCUUUCUCUCCUUCCUUUGCCGUCUUCCUCGCAUCCGUUCAUCCAGCCGUCGACCCGCACAUUUGAAUGGAAGAUGGCGAGGGGCGGGAGGUGUUUCAGCGGCGUCCGCUUGGUAUCUCUGCAGAUCAUCUUGAUGCUCGGAGGCGCGGCGUGGCCUGGCUCCGAGGGACUUACCUUUCCACAGCAGUACACGAUAAUGCACUGGGCGAGGCGCAUCGAGCAGGAGAUUGACAGAGUCUUUCAGCACAUCAGUGGAGCUCAGCAGCUGAAAGGGAUAUACAAUGAAGAAAGAAGACGCUUUAGUCUGGUAAAGAAUCAACCUCGAAAGAUUGUGGAGAAAGUGGCUUCAGAUAUCGAGAAACUUCUGGCUAAGAAGCGCAAAGCUCUCGAAAGGUUAGCCAAUGAAGCAGAACGGCUCCAGCUUGAGCAUCCCUGGCAGGAUGGAAUAAAGGAGCUGGACAUGGCCUAUUAUGACUCGAAGGCAGAGCUAGAUCACUAUUCCAUGGAUGGAGAGGGUGAAGUGGAAAAUCCUUCCCAUAUCAAGCUGGAGUUUGUGUAUGACCCCAAUUUCAAAAACAAUGUCAACUACUCCUACACGGCUGUUCAGAUUCCCACAGACAUUUAUAAAGGAGCUCCAGUUAUUCUCAACGAAUUGAACUGGACGCAGGCGCUGGAGAAAGUGUUCAUGGAGAACAGUCGGGAGGAUCCGUCAUUAUUGUGGCAAGCGUUCGGGAGCGCCACUGGAGUGACCCGCUACUACCCUGCCACACCUUGGAAAGCACCUGAUAAAAUUGACCUCUACGAUGUCAGGAGGAGACCCUGGUACAUCCAGGGUGCUUCAUCCCCCAAAGAUAUGGUCAUUCUUGUGGAUGUGAGUGGCAGUGUCAGUGGACUCACACUUAAACUGAUCAAGGCAUCAGUGAUGGAGAUGCUGGACACGUUGUCUGAUGACGACUACGUCAACGUUGCCCGGUUCAGCGAGAAGGCAGAGGCGGUAGUUCCUUGCUUCAAACAUCUCGUCCAGGCCAAUGUGCGCAACAAGAAGAUCUUUAAAGAAGCGGUGCAGCAGAUGCAGGCCAAAGGCACCACUGACUACAAGUCCGGAUUUCAUUUUGCCUUUAAUCAGCUGUUAAAUAAAACAAACGUCCCACGGGCCAACUGCAAUAAAAUCAUCAUGCUUUUCACUGACGGUGGUGAGGACCGAGCUCAGGAUGUCUUCAUGCAGUACAAUUGGCCCAACAAAACGGUUCGAGUUUUCACCUUUUCAGUGGGACAGCACAACUACGAUGUCACACCUUUACAGUGGAUCGCAUGCACAAAUAAAGGUUACUAUUUUGAGAUCCGUUCCCUCUGCGCAAUAAGGAUAAAUACGCAGGAAUACCUGGAUGUGUUGGGACGCCCCAUGGUUCUUGCAGGCGAUGAGGCCAAGCAGGUCCAAUGGACCAAUGUGUAUCAGGAUGCUUUGGGCCUUGGGAUGGUAGUAACAGGGACUUUGCCUGUAUUCAAUCUCACCAUGGAUGGAAAACUACAGAACCAGCUGAUUUUAGGUGUCAUGGGAGUGGACGUACAUCUCGAUGAGAUAAAGCGGCUGACGCCACAGUACACUCUCGGGGCCAAUGGUUACAUAUUCGCAAUUGACCCAAAUGGAUAUCUCCUGCUUCAUCCCAAUUUACUGCCCAAGCUGGUGCAUCUCCCCGAGCCUGUCACACUGGACUUCCUGGAUGCAGAAGUCGAGGACAGCAAUAAAGAAGAGAUCCGGCGACAGAUGAUUGAUGGACGACCGGGUGACAUGCAGAUCAAAACUCUCAUUAAGUCAGUCGAUGAGCAAUACAUUGAUGAGGUGUACAGAGGUUAUACUUGGACUCCUGUCAAUGGUACAGAUUACAGUCUGGGGCUGGUACUACCGCCAUACAAUGAAUAUUACAUUCAGGCAGACCUCAGUGAUGUGAUGCUUCAACUUCAGUACAUGCAAUCGUUACUGCCAAGCUCCUUUGAAUCUUCAGGACACGUCUUUCUUGCACCAAGGGAAUACUGCAAGCGUCUGCAGCUUUCAGACAACAACACACAGUUUUUGCAGAACUUCCUCUCUCUCAUGCUGGAAAUUUCUCCGGAAUCAGAUGAGUGUGACCAAGGGCUCAUACACAACCUGAUACUGGACUCUAGGAUAAUUGGCCAGCUCGCUUCACGUGUGUGGAAAAAUAAGGAUCUUAAUUCGUAUGGCUUCCUGGCUGUGUUUGCGUCCACUGACGGAGGCAUAACGCGAGUCUUCCCCAACUUAGCUGCCGAAUUAUGGGACGAGGACCCUGAACCCUUCAAUUCAAACUACUAUCGAAGGAGCCUUGACAACAAAGGUUACAUGUUUCGAGCUCCACCUCGAGAAUAUUUAGAUGACAUAUUAGGACCAGAAAACAGCACAGUCGGAAUUCUGGUUAGUUCAGCUGUGGAAGUUAAUUUAGGAGGAAAACUUCUCAAACCUGCAGUUGUGGGAGUAAAGCUGGACCUAGAAGCUUGGGUGGACAAGUUCAAGAUCCUGGCCAGCAACGUGUCGGACAGCCGGCAAGGCUCACACAAGUGCGGCCCAACUAGGAGCUGUGAGAUGGACUGUGAAGUCAACACCGAUGAUCUGCUCUGCUACCUCAUUGAUGACGGUGGCUUCCUGGUUAUGUCCAAUCAAAGAGACCACUGGAAAAAGAUAGGUUUAUUUUUCGGAGAUGUGGACCCAUUCUUGAUGCAUGCCCUCUACAACAACUCCAUCUUCAACCGGCGACAGACUUUUCACUUCCAGUCAGCAUGCGAGCCAGUCAGCAGCAGCCACACUGGUGCAGCACCUCGUCGCUUUUUUGUGCCGUCUAUCGCCGACAUCCUCAGCUUGGCUUGGUGGACGUCCACGGUGGCCUGGUCUUUGAUCCAGCAAGUACUUUACGGACUGGCACACAACAGCUGGCUCAAUCAAGAUGACAUCUUCAUAGAAGGUUUUGAGAUCAAGUCGAGUAGCUGUGUGACCAUCCAAAGCCAGUUCUUCUUCACUAACACCACCAACUCGUAUAAUGUGCUGCAGGACUGUGGCAACUGUUCGCGGCUGUUUCACGCCAAGCGGAUAGAAAACACCAAUCUCCUCUUUGUGGUCGCUGAGACUCUUUCCUGCAGUUCCUGUCAGAUAGAGAAGCUGAGCCAAAUCAGGACAGAGCUUCAGGAGGAGAAUCCUUGUGAGGUACUGAGCAACGCACGAUAUCGGAGAGGUCCGACAACCUGCCUUGACUUCAGUGCCUUAGAAAAUACUUCCGAGUGUGGACGAGCACACUUUGUACAGUCCUCCAUGGGGGUCCUACUCGCCCUUCAGCUCAUUCUGCCUUUCUUUCACCACUGACACAUGCCGCUAUUCACGUCCGUGUCGACUGAUGGUCAGGUACCCAAAGCAAGUGUGACUCCUCUUCUGGAUCAGCCUUUGGUUGUGUUUGGGGUUUUUGGGACGGUUUUUGGCAGUCAGUUGAAAUGUUCCUUUAACAGGGCAACGAACAAGCACACUUGGGGCCAAAAAAUGAUGUGUUGUGUAAUUUUUUUUCAUCGUUUUCUCUUUGGAUUAUUAUAGCAAAAAUUAUGAAUAAUGAAAAUGUUCUGGUGGAAGAAAUAUUCUGCUUGAAUGAAAAAAAUUGUAUUACCACAAAACAAGACUUUUUAGCUAAAUUCUUUACAACAGCACACAUAUAUAUGUCACACUAAAGUUCCUUGGCCAACCAGAAGUACAAAUGGUAUCACUGGUGACAUGAUAACCUGUUUACAACCUCUCUGUGAUACUUUAAAAAGAACAAAACAAGUAUUUAAAAAUAUAUUUAGCUAUUCCAUGGGACCACACAUAUCAGUGACCAAAUAUUUGUUAAAUAUCAGAGACGAUCUUGAAGUGCUUCCAGUCACAAAACCAAUUGAGCACGAGAUGUGGAAAAAGUCAAGCCUAUGAAUAGUGAGUAUAAUGAUCAUAUAUAUGGAUAAAACAUAAUCGGCAAGAAGUGAUAAUACGGUAUUAAGUGCAAUAAUGCUGUGUUGAUUUGUGAGUGUUCGUUAACUAUCCAGUUGAAUCUGAUUGCAGUGUUUGGUGGAUUUCGUAAACCUGUACCCAACUGAAUUUAGAACAAAGCGACAGCAAUUAGUUAUUUGUUUACCAAUAUUUUUCUUAAUAAUGGUAAAUGCUAUUCAUGGUGAUUUAAGUUAUGUUUGCUUCUUGUAUGGGGAAUGUCGCUUCUGAGCAGCCUUUAGUGUUCCCGAUAUGUCAUAACUAUGUGAUGACUUUUCAUUUUUUAAAAUGACUCUUCACCGUGAUAGCAAUAUAUGACAAGGGAAAAAAAUUCUUGUGUGGGCCACACUUUACAAUUAAAACAAAUUUAAGUGGUCCGAAGACUCUACAUGUUGCAUUGAUUAACUUCGGAACUCAGAGUUUAACCUUGUGUAGAGUGAAUGUAAUUCGUGUCAAUUCCGACAUCUGGAGCUGAGCUCAAAACUUAAAGGGUACCACGGAUAGAAAGUCACGUAAUUCUUAAAAGAUGAAUGUUAGUACGAGUUAUAAUAAUUUGAUAAUAAAACCCCUCUUAAUGUUUUUGUUUUAAUAGAAUUUGUAAAAUUAUUUUAACUAGUAGGUCGCCAUUGUUGUUGACAUAGCAGGGUAGUGACGUCACAUGGGUACGCUGCCGGACUUCCACAGUGUCACUCUUUAACUACAUAAACAUGUCAUUGGUUCUGCCCUUCCCAAUUUGAACCCGAGUGGAACAUUAAUGAGAAGGACAGCAAAAGCAAAGUGAACAGGACAGAUGGGUUGAGACAAGUAGCGUUCACGUGUCAAGUUCGCUAGUGACAGCACUCUCCUGCUCUAGUGACAAGAGCAGGAGAGUGUUUGAUGUCAAAAACUGUUUGCAGAUCUUCACGGUAAACUAUUGUGUGAUCCAACUUAUUCCAAUAUUAUUUUGGAGAUAGCAAGCAUCCAGAGCUGUCGUGUGCUUUCCAUAUUAUUAGGGUAUACAGUGAAACACAACAGUUUGAUUAUUUUUGCCGAUAGCCUGUGCAUCACAGCACACGAAAACAUUGAUGCAGUUUGCCUCUACCAAGACAUCUAAGUAGGGGCUCCAUCACCGAGAGAAUGCUGCCUUACCUUAUUUUUGAUACGUAAAAGCAGAUGUCCAGAUUGUUGAUCAUCCUGCCGGUGUUCUCAGAUUUAUCAGACUUAUCAGAUGUUGCUCCCGAAGCUUGCUAAGCGACACGGAAAACGAAUAAAUGUAUUAAACUUAGUUGGAUUGCUGGCUAUUCGUAUCAUUUUUUGCCCAACAGAUUAUAAUGACGCCUUAUUUUGCACAUUGAGAUCUAAGAGGCAGAGAAAGGCGAGUGGACACAGGCGUUCAGAUUCGUAGCUCAGACCGCACCGUUUAUUGGCAUAAGCUUCGGCAACUUCACAGCAAACAUAAGUAUCAUAUACUGAAAAUACAACAAAAAUAAUAUUCAUAUACUGUAGAUCAUAGCUCUCAAAAAUAAUGUUCACAAAAAGAAAAGUACUUCAAUCUGUAUGAAUGAGGCCCUAUCCUCACACAGAUAAACAACAAUGCAAAGAGAACUGGCAUUCAUAAAUUCACAAUCAAAAUAGAUAUGCAAAAUACACAUAAAACUUACUCAGACUUUGGUCAAACUCUAUUUAAACAUUUUAGCAACUCGUUUAUCUCAACAAAUACACUGAAUGGCAAUAUUUAGUCACAGUAUACAAACUCGGAGUGGGAACCUUUUGGUACCUCACGAUACGAUACGAUUUGCGAUACAAAGCUCAUGAUAACGAUGAUCUGACGAUAUGGCGAUACAACGAUUAUCGAUACAUUGGUCAGGAAAUCAUUCUAGAAUAUUCUAAGAACAACUAAUAAACAGAAAAGCAAGCUUCUGCUGUGAAUUGGAAUGAGUAGAUGUCCAAUCCAGUUGAACUGGGAGGGUGGCAGCGCAUUCAUUUGCUACCAUUCCUAUGUAAUCCCUAGGUAAUUUUGGGCUAUUUAAGGUUGUUACCUGUUGAUUUUCAGUUACUUCCUGUUGAUUUUUGGGUAUUUUACGGGUCACUUCCUGUUUAUUUUGAGUUACAGAACAUUAAGUGACCUAGGAAUCACCCAAAAUGAAUAGGCAGUGACUCAAACUCAACAGGAAAUGACCUAUAAAUGCCCUGAAAAUCAGAUAGAAUGACUGUGAAUGCUCUGGUUUCGAAUGAACGAACGUUCCCAGUGUAAAUGGAUUCGGCGUCGUGCACCGUCAAUGCAGCCUUAGAGUUAACUGAGACACUAUUAUGGUGGAAGAUUUUGGUUGCAACUUGUUGGUUCCUUUUUAUUUUUUUUUUUAGACAUUGACACCUUUUUAAAAUGAUAUCUCGAUUCUUGGCAGGAGCAUAUCGAUAACCUUAUGUGAUACAAAGUAUCACGAUAUAUCACCAUUUCGAUAUUUUGUCACACCCAGGCAGGAAACUAUGGCGUCAGUCGAGGGACAAAACGCACGCAUUGGCAUGAUCUCCAAUUGACACCUUGUGGUGUACUUAAAUCAGUGCCUCACAUAGUUGAAGAGUGACACUGUGAAGGAUGGUCAGCGUGACCAUGUGACGUCAGCGCCCUGCGACGUCAACAGCAAUGCCCGCAGUGCCUUGUGGCACUCUCUUUGGAUGUUCCAUUGACGUUCAUCCUGCAUCCCGCAGGCCAUGCGAAGGACUUGUGAAGUUUGAUGUGGAUACACGACACAUGAUUGCUCUUCAAGAUCAAAUGAGACUUCUCAUUAAAGAGAACAGCACAGCUAAAGAAGCAUGUGGCCACCUCAAGGAAAAAUGUUUAUUGAGAUUUGGCCCCCUUCUUCAGUCUAUGUUGGGCCAAGAAUCAAAGCACACACUCUGGCCAACACACUUUCUCCAGAUCCUCGUCUUUCCUGCCACGAAUGACUGAAAUAAGUGAAUGUUUAGGAUGUUUAUGUACGCGCCGUGCAUCUUUGCAGUCCCCCAGCAUGGUCGGGAAUGGUUUGCCAGAAACAUUGCUUUAUAAAAAUUAAAAAAUGCUUUUAACCCAUGGCUUUGAAUUUAGUUCCUGAAACAACACUGCUGUAUAUUAAGCAAAAGUGUUGAUAAGCCACAAAGUAUUAAGGUCAGUGUUGUGGUUUUGUUUUUAAUGACCUGUAUUUAUUUGCAUGAUGUUUUGGAACACUUGGAGCAAGUUUUGUGUAUAUAGUUGGAUAGAUAUGAAACAUUCCUCUUGAGUAUAUCUCAUGGAAAUGAAUGAGGAACAAAGUUUGACUUCAGUGAAGCCUUUAACAGAUUUAUGUAUUUAUUAAUUUAUGCUGUAUGUUUUAAGCACAAAAGGUGCAGGUGGUAAACAAACUGCCUAACAACAUCAAUAUUUAGGAGACAAGUGACAAGUAACAGAAAAACCUUGAAAAAAAGGCAGGGUCAUCAUGUGAUGAUCUUCUAAAUGCAUUUGCCAAUCAAGUUGAUGUAUUUGCUUUGUAUCUAAUUUGCAAUGUGUAUUUCUUUUAUCUUCGUAUUUAUUUGUACAUUUUUUUAAGUGUGAAAGAUAUUGAACGUGUUUGACACUUACACGGGCAGAAUAAUUAAUUUAAAAAAAAGAUAAAUAUGACAAUACUCUAUUGAAAGUUUAUGCCUAUGAAUGAAUGUUUGAAUAUUUUUACACUUAACUUUGCUCUUCAUUUGGCUUACCAUUGUUGUCGACUGUUCCACUCUUUGUGCCAGCCUCGCAUCCUGCCACCUCAUUUUUGUAUGCAAAGCAGUCUGCAGAAUAAAACAAGCUUAACUUUGUAAACAUUUUGUCAGUCACAUUGCAGAUGGAUAUUUCAAUGUUUAUAUCUUUGGUGAUUAAAUGCUCUUGAUAUUUUUCA
RNA transcript from Corythoichthys intestinalis (scribbled pipefish), 8170 nucleotides. It is a transcript of the gene named voltage-dependent calcium channel subunit alpha-2/delta-2, with no coding region annotated. The record is from RefSeq and is a predicted model, not a curated record. The transcript has 39 exons. Lineage: Eukaryota; Metazoa; Chordata; Actinopteri; Syngnathiformes; Syngnathidae.